CUUCUCCAACAGUCCAACUCCUUCCUUAGUCAUCAGCAAAAUGCCCUAGCCUCCACCAAAGAAAGCAAACCCUAGCCUCAACCAAUCUUGUCGCCGUCUGGCGGAGUGAGAGACUGCUGCUGCCGCCUCCGUCACACUCAAGAACUUCCAUCUUCAUGCUAUCGGCGUUCGUUACUUCUCUCUCACCAUCCCCUGUUCACUCUCAUCAGUCACCUGUUCGCUCUCCAUCCCCUGUUCGCUCUCAUCAGUCGCCUGUUCGCCGUCGUCCGUUGCGCUCAACCGUUCUCCGUCGUCCGUCGCGCUCAACCGCUCUCCGUCGUCCGUCGAAGAUUUGAACUCAUCAAAGUUCCCUGAAUUUAAGUUCUCCUUCAGAGGCACAUAUUCAAUUACCAGUGGAAUGAUAAACAAUCCUGCAUCACUUGGUAAACAUGCAUAUGCCUCUAGCUAAUUCAAUAUAAAUAGUGAAUUUAUUUAUUUUUUUAAUUCUUUACUAAUUCUUUUGUGCUAUAAGUGAUUUGUACAUAUCAUAGUAAAAUAAAAAAUAACAUUGGUUACAAUUGUUUAUUGAAAAUGUGCAAACUUAAGUCAUGAAAGUUGUUUGUAUAAUGUGAGAUCUCAAUGAAUAAGCAGCUUUGCAUUGUAUUCAAUGAUUAUUUGAACCUUCA
Non-coding RNA from Arachis ipaensis, 665 nucleotides. The record is from RefSeq and is a predicted model, not a curated record. Lineage: Eukaryota; Viridiplantae; Streptophyta; Magnoliopsida; Fabales; Fabaceae.